AACGAACGCUGGCGGCAUGCCUAACACAUGCAAGUCGAACGAGACCUUCGUGUCUAGUGGCUCACGGGUGCGUCACGCGUGGGAACCUUCCCUUAGGUUCGGAAUAACUCCCUGUAAGGGGUGCUAAUACCGGAUAAUUUCUUCGAACCAAAGAUUUAUCGCCUUUGGAUGGGCCCGCGUUGGAUUAGCUAGUUGGUAGGGUAAAAGCCUACCAAGGCGACGAUCAAUAGCUGGUCUGAGAGGAUGAGCAGCCACACUGGGACUGAGACACGGCCCAGAAACAUACGGGAGGGAGCAGUGGGGAAAAUUGGACAAUGGGCGUAAGUCUGAAACAGCAAUGGCGUGUAAGGGAUGAAGGCCGGAGGGUUGUAAAGGUAGUUUAACAGGGAUGAUAAUGAAAGUACCGGGAGGAUAAGCUCCGGCUAAAUCCGUG
Molecule: ribosomal RNA, 433 nt
Filed under: uncultured bacterium
Lineage: Bacteria
Description: partial 16S ribosomal RNA
Rfam family: Bacterial small subunit ribosomal RNA
Source: RNAcentral